This 473-nucleotide ribosomal RNA is filed under the name uncultured organism. RNAcentral's name for it is "partial 16S ribosomal RNA". It matches the Rfam family "Bacterial small subunit ribosomal RNA", at positions 331 to 797 of the family's 1533-position model. The record is from RNAcentral.
GUACACUCCUACGGGAGGCAGCAGUAGGGAAUCUUCCACAAUGGGUGCAAACCUGAUGGAGCAAUGCCGCGUGAGUGAAGAAGGUCUUCGGAUCGUAAAGCUAUGUUGUUAGAGAAGAACACGUGCUAGGUAACUACUAGCGCCUUGACGGUAUCUAACCAGAAAGUCACGGCUAACUACGUGCCAGCAGCCGCGGUAAUACGUAGGUGACAAGCGUUGUCCGGAUUUAUUGGGCGUAAAGGGAGCGCAGGCGGUCUGUUUAGUCUAAUGUGAAAGCCCACGGCUUAACCGUGGAAAGGCAGUGGAAACUGACAGACUUGAAUGUAGAAGAGAAAAAUGGAAUUCCAAGUGUAGCGGUGGAAUGCGUAGAUAUUUGGAGGAACACCAGUGGCGAAGGCGAUUUUCUGGUCUAACAUUGACGCUGAGGCUCGAGAGCGUAGGGAGCGAACAGGAUUAGAAACCCGGGGAGUCCC